UAAAGGAGUAAGUUCGGUAAGUGCCAUAUUUGGCCCCAAUUAUAAAGUUCAUGGUUACAAGACAAUAAUUGUUUUAAGUUGCCUUAAAGACAUGUGCAAAAGUUAAACAGAGCUGUUUUUGUCAAAGUUUAAUUCUAACACAACGAUUUUUACAUUCCAAAACGGUCAAGAUAAGGGAUUUUGGUGAAAUUUGACAAAAUCAGCGGGAUUUCAACCAAAUAAAGGACCAGGAAACAUAGAGCGCAGGCGUCGACAAGCUUAAUAUUCAAAUAAGACAUGUUAAAUGUCUUCACAAACAUUAUUUUAAAAGAUCUUUGUUGUCGACGUAUGCGCUCUAUGUUUCCUGUCAAAUAAUCUUUGGAAAUUUACCCAUUUUCAUUGAUUUUUUCGUGAAAAAUCAAUAUGAGUACAACUUGUGACGUCAUAAUGAAACGCAGAAACGUAAAAUUUUAAACAAAAUGGCUUAUAUCCUAUCUAGUCAAUGUAUUAGCUAUAAUUCAUCGUGAUAUUGGUCAAUAAAUCCGAAUUUGAAAUUUACGCUAAAAAAGUGGGCCAUUUUAGGACCUUAUCGAACAUACUCCUUUAACCUGAGGU
This 594-nucleotide long non-coding RNA is filed under the name Mytilus galloprovincialis (Mediterranean mussel). The record is from RNAcentral. Lineage: Eukaryota; Metazoa; Mollusca; Bivalvia; Mytilida; Mytilidae.